GCGCCAGACUCCUACGGGAGGCAGCAGUGGGGAAUAUUGGACAAUGGGGGGAACCCUGAUCCAGCGACGCCGCGUGAGUGAAGAAGUCUUUCGGUAUGUAAAGCUCUAUCAGCAGGGAAGAAAGAAAUGACGGUACCUGACUAAGAAGCCCCGGCUAACUACGUGCCAGCAGCCGCGGUAAUACGUAGGGGGCAAGCGUUAUCCGGAUUUACUGGGUGUAAAGGGAGCGUAGACGGCAUGGCAAGUCUGAAGUGAAAGCCCGGGGCUCAACCGCGGGACUGCUUUGGAAACUGUUAAGCUGGAGUGCAGGAGAGGUAAGUGGAAUUCCUAGUGUAGCGGUGAAAUGCGUAGAUAUUAGGAGGAACACCAGUGGCGAAGGCGGCUUACUGGACUGUAACUGACGUUGAGGCUCGAAAGCGUGGGGAGCAAACAGGAUUAGAUACCCCAGUACGG
This 453-nucleotide ribosomal RNA is filed under the name uncultured bacterium. Its description in RNAcentral is "bacterial SSU rRNA". It matches the Rfam family "Bacterial small subunit ribosomal RNA", at positions 328 to 793 of the family's 1533-position model. The record is from RNAcentral.